GCCUUCGGGUUGUAAAGCUCUUUUGUCAGGGAAGAAACGGCGGUUUCUAAUACUGAUCGCUAAUGACGGUACCUGAAGAAUACGCACCGGCUAACUACGUGCCAGCAGCCGCGGUAAUACGUANGGUGCAAGCGUUAAUCGGAAUUACUGGGCGUAAAGCGUGCGCAGGCGGUUUUGUAAGUCUGUCNNGAAAUCCCCGGGCUCAACCUGGGAAUUGCAAUGGAGACUGCAAGGCUGGAGUUUGGGAUAGGGGGGUAGAAUUCCACGUGUACCAGUGAAAUGCGUAUAUAUGUGGAGGAACACCGAUGGCCAACGGAGCCCCCUGGGUCAAGACUGACGCUCAUGCACGAAAGCGUGGGGAGGAAACAGG
RNAcentral lists this ribosomal RNA (370 nucleotides) under Oxalobacteraceae bacterium. RNAcentral describes it as "bacterial SSU rRNA". It matches the Rfam family "Bacterial small subunit ribosomal RNA", at positions 414 to 776 of the family's 1533-position model. Lineage: Bacteria; Pseudomonadati; Pseudomonadota; Betaproteobacteria; Burkholderiales; Oxalobacteraceae. The record is from RNAcentral.